RNAcentral lists this ribosomal RNA (447 nucleotides) under uncultured bacterium. RNAcentral describes it as "SSU rRNA". It matches the Rfam family "Bacterial small subunit ribosomal RNA", at positions 26 to 518 of the family's 1533-position model. The record is from RNAcentral.
AGAGCGAACGCUGGCGGCAGGCCUAACACAUGCAAGUCGAGCGCCCGUAGCAAUACGGGAGCGGCAGACGGGAUAGUAACACGUGGGAACGCGCCCUUCGGUUCGGAAUAACUCAGGGAAACUUGAGCUAAUACCGAAUACGCCCUUACGGGGAAAGAUUUAUUGCCGAAGGAACGGCCCGCGUCCGAUUAGCUAGUUGGUGAGGUAAUGGCUCACCAAGGCUACGAUCGGUAGCUGGUCUGAGAGGAUGACCAGCAUCACUGGGACUGAGACACGGCCCAGACUCCUACGGGAGGCAGCAGUGGGGAAUAUUGGACAAUGGGCGCAAGCCUGAUCCAGCCGUGCCGCGUGGAUGAUGAAGGCCUUAGGGUUGUAAAGUCCUUUUAACGGGGAAGAUAAUGACGGUACCGUAGAAUAAGCCCCGGCUAACUUCGUGCCAGCAGCCGC